This 325-nucleotide long non-coding RNA is filed under the name Heterocephalus glaber (naked mole-rat). RNAcentral describes it as "lncRNA (ENSHGLG00100049444.1)". Lineage: Eukaryota; Metazoa; Chordata; Mammalia; Rodentia; Bathyergidae. The record is from RNAcentral.
AGCGGGUGAGCAGUAAGCUUUGUGCUUAUUCCUGGCUCCUGGAGAUCUGCCUCCAGGGAAACGCCUUCAGGGUCACAGUGAAAUCUCUGUGGCAGCUAAUAAAGAAACCCGUCUGCCUCUGGAACCCUGACCUGGGGAGGUGCAGGCUGGACUCCUCCUCCUCUCUGUCGCCAGACGAAGCAGAAAGAAUUCUGCAACACACCAGCUGUCUGAAUGCACAAGGACACAACAGUGCUAAGGCCGCAUUCAGUGGUCCCCUUAGGAGGAUGCUUGGGAGCAACCUAGCUCUUGUGAAAACUGGCCAAAAAGGGUGAAAACAUAAAAC